GUGCUCGCUUCAGCAGCACAUACACUAAAAUUGGAAUGAUACAGAGAAGAUUAGCAUGGCCCCUGUGCAAGGAUGACACGCAAAUUUGUGAAGCAUUCCAUAUUUUU
This 107-nucleotide small nuclear RNA is filed under the name Cervus hanglu yarkandensis (Yarkand deer). The record is from RNAcentral. Lineage: Eukaryota; Metazoa; Chordata; Mammalia; Artiodactyla; Cervidae.